GAAAUGAUUAUGAUACAUUGAGUAAUCUCUGAGAUUUAUAUCUACAAAUACACGAUCGGGUAUUUCAACCAUUCAAUACUUUCCACAAUUUGGCACAAGUGUUUCAUGUCAAAUUCGAGAUUAUGUUUGAUUUAUGUCUGCAUAUACAACAUUUACUCAAGUCCAUGUCCAUGCCACACGAGGGGAGGAAAUGCGACCCUCCGAUUAACUGUUAGCUUUUGGCACCGUUCAUCAUCAUCAGCAGCGACAGAAACAAUAAAAUCAAAUAAAAAUCUUCAACGCCCACUUAGUUAUGGUCGUUAUCACUCCAUUAAGAAUGAACUGUGAAUAUUAAAUAUUGUGUUAAAAAUAUUGCUAAAAGGCGAUACUAAAUGGGGGAGCAUUCACCGAUUCUUGGAGUUGUGGAAAGCAUUUGAAUAAAAACUAGAACUGCUAGACCGAGAGCAGACUAGCGGUGGAACUCAGCACCCAACUGUGGGAUCUCACGCUCGCUCUGGCCCCAUUACGACCCUUUCUGAGUGUCAUGAAAAGCCCGGUUCACCAUGACCCCCUAUAGCCUACAGAAAAACCCAGUAUUCUACGGAUGAGCCAAUUGAAAUCUUCGAAAGGCC
Molecule: long non-coding RNA, 611 nt
Organism: Drosophila pseudoobscura
Lineage: Eukaryota; Metazoa; Arthropoda; Insecta; Diptera; Drosophilidae
Exons: 3
Source: RefSeq, a predicted model, not a curated record